ACACUAACCCUCCCGAUCUUGCUAGCCGGGGGCUCAGUCUUUCAAGAUUCAAUCUUUCCCCUUCCGGUCCCAGGGAAUCGCUCUUAUAGUAGGAGGUUUACUAUGUCCCCAACUUCUCUUUAUUAAGAAAGUCGGUUGUCUACUAUAAUUAGAUUAAGAUCGUAAAAACAUAAGCUUGUAAUAUAGCUAGACCAAAUUCAAUAAAUGGAGUCCGGUAAUAACAUUAUGAAACUGAACCCAUAUGGCAGAAAGCAGAAGCAGCGGGUACGUCUGUUCGGGUUCAUUCAUGUCCAAUAAACUUCAAACAAAAGGAGAUUCGGGUAUCAGAGUUGAGUGGACAGGCGACAGGAGGAUGGGGGGAAGAGUAAAGACAAGACGAAAGCAAGAGUUCCAGCAUCUUACUUUACUAGUUUCAUUUCCGUAUGAUAGUCACCCCUUUCUCGGUAAAGCAGAGUGAGCAGCUUCUUUCUUUGCUACUGCUGCCAUACCACAAAGAAGUCCAAUAGCUGCGCUUACUUCUUCCUUCAACCCUGAAAAGAGCAUAUGCAUCCCGGGAUUCUCUCCAUCUCAGAAGUGGAUUCCCCUGCAAGGGUACUUGAGUACGACUACGGCUAUGAAAAGCUUAUCGAAAGAGGAGGAAAGAGCGUAAACUCGACUCUAAAAGUUUCAGUUGCCUCCCUCUCUCCGCCCUAUAACUGAAAAAAAGGAGCACGGUAAAGCAGAGUGAGCAGCUUCUUUCUUUGCUACUGC
This 750-nucleotide long non-coding RNA is filed under the name Nicotiana benthamiana. Its description in RNAcentral is "long non-coding RNA (NBEN_LNC028815)". Lineage: Eukaryota; Viridiplantae; Streptophyta; Magnoliopsida; Solanales; Solanaceae. The record is from RNAcentral.